GAAAUGCAAUAAGUAGUGUGAAUUGCAGAAUUUAGUGAAUCAUCAAAUCUUUAAACGCACAUUGCGCCCCUUAGUAUUCUAUGGGGCAUGCCUGUUCGAGCGUCAUUAACACCCUUAAGCUCUGCUUAGUGUUGGGGCCGUUGUCGUUUCCCCACCCCUCCUAGCGACACAGCGACACCCCUUAAAGUUAUUAGCGGCCUUUCUGCCCGGCUCCCCGCACAGCAGUUAGCGCUUCGGAGAUCCCUAGGCAGGCUAGCAUCUAUUAAGCUAACCCCUUUUACGCUUAACCUCAGAUUAGGUAGGGACACCCGCUGAACUUAA
This 321-nucleotide unclassified non-coding RNA is filed under the name uncultured Ascomycota. RNAcentral's name for it is "sequence contains ITS1". The stretch from base 1 to 105 matches the Rfam family "5.8S ribosomal RNA", at positions 50 to 154 of the family's 154-position model. The record is from RNAcentral. Lineage: Eukaryota; Fungi; Ascomycota.